This 501-nucleotide ribosomal RNA is filed under the name uncultured bacterium. Its description in RNAcentral is "bacterial SSU rRNA". It matches the Rfam family "Bacterial small subunit ribosomal RNA", at positions 29 to 507 of the family's 1533-position model. The record is from RNAcentral.
AACGAACGCUGGCGGCGUGCGUUAAUACAUGCAAGUCGUGCGNGAAAAGUCUCCCUUCGGGGGGACGAGGUAAAGCGGCGAACGGGUGCGUAACACGUGGGCAACCUGCCUUCAGGUUUGGGAUAAGCUCCCAAAGGGGGUCUAAUACCGAAUAAAAUCACCUUAAGGCAUCUUUUGGUGAUCAAAGGCGGCUUCGGCUGUCGCCUAAAGAUGGGCCCGCGGUCCAUUAGCUUGUUGGUGAGGUAAAAGCUCACCAAGGCGACGAUGGAUAGCCGACCUGAGAGGGUGACCGGCCACACUGGGACUGAGAUACGGCCCAGACUCCUACGGGAGGCAGCAGUAGGGAAUAUUGGGCAAUGCCCGCAAGGGUGACCCAGCAACGCCGCGUGGGCGAUGAAGCUCUUUGGAGCGUAAAGCCCUGUCAGGAGGAACGAAAUGUCCUGGCUCUAAUACAGUCGGGAUUUGACGGUACCUCCAGAGGAAGCUCCGGCCAACUCCGUG